RNAcentral lists this ribosomal RNA (309 nucleotides) under Escherichia coli. RNAcentral's name for it is "bacterial SSU rRNA". It matches the Rfam family "Bacterial small subunit ribosomal RNA", at positions 662 to 970 of the family's 1533-position model. Lineage: Bacteria; Pseudomonadati; Pseudomonadota; Gammaproteobacteria; Enterobacterales; Enterobacteriaceae. The record is from RNAcentral.
UAGAAUUCCAGGUGUAGCGGUGAAAUGCGUAGAGAUCUGGAGGAAUACCGGUGGCGAAGGCGGCCCCCUGGAUGAAGACUGACGCUCAGGUGCGAAAGCGUGGGGAGCAAACAGGAUUAGAUACCCUGGUAGUCCACGCCGUAAACGAUGUCGACUUGGAGGUUGUGCCCUUGAGGCGUGGCUUCCGGAGCUAACGCGUUAAGUCGACCGCCUGGGGAGUACGGCCGCAAGGUUAAAACUCAAAUGAAUUGACGGGGGCCCGCACAAGCGGUGGAGCAUGUGGUUUAAUUCGAUGCAACGCGAAGAACC